Molecule: microRNA precursor, 104 nt
Filed under: Trifolium pratense (red clover)
Lineage: Eukaryota; Viridiplantae; Streptophyta; Magnoliopsida; Fabales; Fabaceae
Description: pre miRNA mir-399
Source: RNAcentral
UGAGGAAUGAUAGGGAAAAUCUCUAUUGGCACAGAGAAGUAGAGAGCUUUAACAUGCAUGUAUGCUUCUCGUUUGCCAAAGGAGAUUUGCCCUGCCAUUUUCGA